GGAGGUAUAGCUUGGUGGUAAAGAGCAUGUUUAGCAUGCAUGAGGUCUUGGGUUGAAUUCCCAGCACCAUCA
Molecule: transfer RNA, 72 nt
Filed under: Camelus dromedarius (Arabian camel)
Lineage: Eukaryota; Metazoa; Chordata; Mammalia; Artiodactyla; Camelidae
Also listed under: 1 other name
Rfam family: tRNA
About the family: Transfer RNA (tRNA) molecules are approximately 80 nucleotides in length.
Source: Rfam by way of RNAcentral